This is a long non-coding RNA of Drosophila guanche, 1259 nucleotides long. RefSeq lists it as uncharacterized. NCBI's taxonomy places the organism in Eukaryota, Metazoa, Arthropoda, Insecta, Diptera, Drosophilidae. The transcript has 3 exons. The record is from RefSeq and is a predicted model, not a curated record.
UAAGUAUCUUUAAAUAUCAAUAUUUAUUUAAAAGAACCAUAUCUGUGUAUUUUUGCAGCCGCGACUGUAUUUACCAAGAGCUUAACUUUAUGUGCCGGGGUCAGUAACCGAGAUUUUCAGAUUUCUCCCCUUUUUUGGGGCAGCCGACAAUCGACAACCGACAGCCGCAUAGCUGAUAAGCCUUAAGCUGCUUAAUCGAUGACCAGAGAGUUGUCAAAAAAUAAUUCACAGGCUCGGGACGAGCACUGGGAUGCGGCUGAAAGAUCUACCCUUUGGUGCUUUAAAUGGUCCUCAACGUUGCGGGAGGGACGACAUCGAAGAGAGUGGAAGACGGAACCCCCAUUGGCCGCGCCAAAUCAGAGUCUCCUUGUCGGCGGGGCCCUUACAUGAGAAAUAUUUUAGCGUACAAUGCAGAAAUGGUAGCAACUUCGCAGCGUUUCCUUAUCAGUCGCAGCUCCGCUGACGUGUGCACCCCAAAAAAAGGAGGAACAAAGCAGAAGGAGGACCAGAAACAGAAACAGAAACCGCGCUUGCAGAUAAUGCCACAAUGAAGACAGCAUAACGCGCCGCUGUUGAAAAAUCGCUGCAUGCUGGCAGGGCCAACAUCAGAUGGCAAAGAGGAUGCGUCCACAUCAAGAUAAAUGAGCGUGCGUCUUCGUUUUGUGUUGCUUCUGCUGCUGUUGACGUGGGACCUGCAACCUGUCCCUGCCCCUGCCUCUAUAAGCCGGGAAUCAAAGUUAUAAUAAUGCAUAAGUAAUUUGCAGCAGAAGCAAUCGGAAAGAGCCAUCAGGGAGCUCGUGCCGCGGCUGCUUUCCGCCUUGACAACAGUUAAUCAAAACCGGCACACAACAUGGUCAGACUCGUCUGCCCUGCAGCUAUCUGUCCCUUUUGGAUAGUUAUUUAUUAACUGCGCAGCACUUUAUCCGCACAUCGUUAAAGGAGAAACCAAAUAUUUGCAAAUAUGUACUUCAAAAAGCGAACGAAAACUGGAGCAAGUGAUACUGUUGAGUUAGCUGUUGUGCAGCCAAUGCAUUGCCAAUGGCACACUUGUGCAACAUUAACUUGCCUCUCAAGUUCAGACAAAGAAGGGAGAAGCAGCACAAUGGCCAUUGCCAUUGGCAUUGGCAGACCCAAAUCCAGUGCCCAGCAUAGGGCCAGAGCCAAACAAUGCCGCGGCUUGUAAAGACAAGGGAAACCCAAACAGUGGAGGACCCGAGGCAGCGGCCACUGAACUGAACUAGAUUUCAGCUCAUUGCAAA